Molecule: transfer RNA, 72 nt
Filed under: Bos taurus (domestic cattle)
Lineage: Eukaryota; Metazoa; Chordata; Mammalia; Artiodactyla; Bovidae
Also listed under: 3 other names
Rfam family: tRNA
About the family: Transfer RNA (tRNA) molecules are approximately 80 nucleotides in length. Their secondary structure includes four short double-helical elements and three loops (D, anti-codon, and T loops). Further hydrogen bonds mediate the characteristic L-shaped molecular structure. tRNAs have two regions of fundamental functional importance: the anti-codon, which is responsible for specific mRNA codon recognition, and the 3' end, to which the tRNAs corresponding amino acid is attached (by aminoacyl-tRNA synthetases). tRNAs cope with the degeneracy of the genetic code in two manners: having more than one tRNA (with a specific anti-codon) for a particular amino acid; and 'wobble' base-pairing, i.e. permitting non-standard base-pairing at the 3rd anti-codon position.
Source: Rfam by way of RNAcentral
UCGCUGGCGGUCCAGUGGCUGGACUCUGUACUCCCAAUGCAGGGGGCCUGGGUUCGAUCCCUGGCCAGGGAA